GACGAACGCUGGCGGCGUGCCUAACACAUGCAAGUCGAACGGAAAGGCCCUGCUUGCAGGGUACUCGAGUGGCGAACGAGUGUGUAACACGGGGGGGAGCGUACCUGCAGUGCGGGAUAACCCUGGGAAAGGGGGUCUAAUAAGGGAUAUGUGCUAUUUUUACAGUGAUGGUUGCAAAGUCUUUUCGGUGUGGGAUGAGCUCGCCGCCUAUCAGCUGGUUGGUGGCGGAAUGGCCUAUCAAGGCGGCGACGGGUAGCCGGACUGAGAGGGUGUACGGCCACAUUGAGACUGAGAUACGGCCCAGACUCCUACGGGUGGGAGCAGUGGGGAAUGUUGAACAAUGAGAGUAAGGCUAAUGCAGAGGCGCCGAGUGCGGGAUGACGGCCUUCGAGUUGUAAAUUCCUUUCGCUAGCGACGAAGCUUUUUGUGACGGUACCUAGAUAAGAAGCCCCGGCUAACUACGUG
RNAcentral lists this ribosomal RNA (465 nucleotides) under uncultured bacterium. Its description in RNAcentral is "partial 16S ribosomal RNA". It matches the Rfam family "Bacterial small subunit ribosomal RNA", at positions 28 to 507 of the family's 1533-position model. The record is from RNAcentral.